UUGCUCGCUUCGGCAGCACGUGUACUAAAAUUGGAACGAUACAGAGAAGAUUAGCAUGGCCCCUGUGCAAGGAUCACACGCAAAUUUGUGAAGCAUUCCAUAUUUUU
RNAcentral lists this small nuclear RNA (107 nucleotides) under Salvator merianae (Argentine black and white tegu). Lineage: Eukaryota; Metazoa; Chordata; Lepidosauria; Squamata; Teiidae. The record is from RNAcentral.